CUACGUCUUGCUGAUUUGCCGUCCAGAUGACAACAGCUCAGCGACCAUUGCUGUGGCAGUGGACGUGGGCACGACCGCAGAAAAUGUGGUUCAGUACAUCAUACAGCAGUGCAAACUAUUGGGUGAAGUCUCUGACUACCAGCUGUGUGUAAACUAUGAGAAAGAAGAGGAAACAUACCCCCUUAUUGGCCAUGAGCUACCAUUCUUCAUCCUGCAUCACUCCCUGAGAAGUCAACAAGACCAUCUGCACAUGCCCAGUGAGCCCCUGCAGGAGGUGUUUAGUUCUGGCCAGCAGACAGAGGCCACUCCCAAGACCCCUCACUUCACCCUAAAACCCAGAACACAUACUCCUAGGGGUACUUUGCUGAAACAUAAAAGAAAAAGGUCUCUGAUUGAUUGGGCACUGAGGAGGGGACACUUUAACCAAUCCGAUGGCCAGUCUGACCCACAAACUGCCUCGCACAAGC
Molecule: long non-coding RNA, 467 nt
Filed under: Sinocyclocheilus grahami
Lineage: Eukaryota; Metazoa; Chordata; Actinopteri; Cypriniformes; Cyprinidae
Description: lncRNA (ENSSGRG00000022936.1)
Source: RNAcentral